CAGGGAUUAACCAUGUUAGGGAUAAAAACUCGUUCAAUCCUUUAUUUGGUGUGCUCUCACAGUGGCCAGAAGUGCAAAGAGCACCCUUCUGCAGAAGUAAAUUUGCCUUGCUGAGAAAUCAUUCAUCUGAGUGCUCGUUUUCCUUGCAACUCCGAGCUCUUGUUUCUAACAACUUUGGGGCUUGUCUGGGAUUGCCUUUCUGCUCUGGGGAGAGGUUCCCACCCAUCUCUCAUGAGGAGAUGUGUCCCAUUGCCUCGCUGUGGUAGUCUCAGGGAUGAGGGAUUGAGACCUCCCCAGCAUGGCGAAUAAACCUGGACUCUCUGCAACGGGGGUGAAAAGGAUCCUCACGUACUGCAGCAACCAGGUAACUCUGUGCACAGACCAAGCUUUUGCCAAAAGGAGUCCAAAAAGGCCAGCAAAAC
RNAcentral lists this long non-coding RNA (422 nucleotides) under Homo sapiens (human). RNAcentral's name for it is "HSALNT0057068". Lineage: Eukaryota; Metazoa; Chordata; Mammalia; Primates; Hominidae. The record is from RNAcentral.